Molecule: transfer RNA, 64 nt
Filed under: Diaphorina citri (Asian citrus psyllid)
Lineage: Eukaryota; Metazoa; Arthropoda; Insecta; Hemiptera; Psyllidae
Rfam family: tRNA
About the family: Transfer RNA (tRNA) molecules are approximately 80 nucleotides in length. Their secondary structure includes four short double-helical elements and three loops (D, anti-codon, and T loops). Further hydrogen bonds mediate the characteristic L-shaped molecular structure. tRNAs have two regions of fundamental functional importance: the anti-codon, which is responsible for specific mRNA codon recognition, and the 3' end, to which the tRNAs corresponding amino acid is attached (by aminoacyl-tRNA synthetases). tRNAs cope with the degeneracy of the genetic code in two manners: having more than one tRNA (with a specific anti-codon) for a particular amino acid; and 'wobble' base-pairing, i.e. permitting non-standard base-pairing at the 3rd anti-codon position.
Source: Rfam by way of RNAcentral
GGCGUAGUGGUCACUGCACUCGCCUUGCACGCGGGAGACCCGGGUUCGAUUCCUGGCUGAGUCA